This is a long non-coding RNA of Amphibalanus amphitrite, 1038 nucleotides long. RefSeq lists it as uncharacterized. The record is from RefSeq and is a predicted model, not a curated record. Lineage: Eukaryota; Metazoa; Arthropoda; Thecostraca; Balanomorpha; Balanidae. The transcript is spliced from 3 exons.
AUGGUCUUCGGAGGUGGCAGAACGGGAGUACAGAGGUGCAGCGGCCGUCAGCCAGGUGUUUGCAGAUCUUCCGGAUCAGUGACUCCCUGCUGGACGGCGUCGAUCGGCGCACAGGACAUGCCACCGGCGGCUGUCGCUCCGGUUCUCUGGACGCUGACCAGGCCCAGGCGUGUCUGCGGCGGCGGGCGGCGCGGCGGCGGCGGCCGGCGAGACUCGUGGUCAUCGGCGACUCUCGCAGCCGCAUCCUGACGGAGCAGCUGCGCGUGUUCCUCCAGUUGGGAAACGGCACUGCCAUUAGGGACGUGCGCCUCGAGGACAUCCCGCCGGGUCCGCUGCAGCCGCUUCUGCAGCACAGCACAAGGGACGCAUGCGUCCAACAAGAGGCGAGUUGCAGCAGAACCAUGAGAAAUGACGUACUUAUAGCAGAGUACUGGCGGCGGCCGUACAUUUACUCGCUGUUUCUGCAGAAGCUAAGAAAGCUAGUGACUGAGUGUCGAGAGAAACCGUUAGAAUGUCCCGAUCUCGUGGUGAUAAAUAGUGGUAUGUGGUACCUUCGUGUGAUACCAGUCCAACUGCCAAUUGAAAAGUCAAAAAUAGCUUGGACUCUAAAGAUGCGAGAGCACGUGAGCGGCAUCCGACAGGUACUAGCUCAACUGGUGAAGGAGACCACGGUAGUGUGGCGACUGGAGGAGGCCAUCACUUCCGACGUGACACGAACGCGCAGAAAGUCGGAUUACCAGAGAAGGUUGACAGCUUCGCAUGCAUUCUUCUACGAGCUACAGACUAAGGUGGAUGGACUUGUAUUGUGGUCAUCCAUGCUUCCAGAGACCUUCGAUUUUUCCCAACGGGUCUGCGGCUCAGUUCAGAACUUCACAGACUCUGACGACCCAGCUAUCAAGGAUAUAAUUAAUCAGUGCUGGGACGAAAUACACGUGGGUCGCUCCAUGCGACAGCGAUUUGUCUCCAAAAUGUUGGAUGUAUUUUGCGAGCUUGAUGGCGACAGGGAUGCAGGACACUGCUGUAGGGGAUAAUUUGGCU